RNAcentral lists this ribosomal RNA (398 nucleotides) under uncultured bacterium. RNAcentral describes it as "partial 16S ribosomal RNA". It matches the Rfam family "Bacterial small subunit ribosomal RNA", at positions 523 to 918 of the family's 1533-position model. The record is from RNAcentral.
AUACGUAGGGUGCGAGCGUUGUCCGGAAUUACUGGGCGUAAAGAGCUCGUAGGUGGUUUGUCGCGUCGUCUGUGAAAUUCCGGGGCUUAACUCCGGGCGUGCAGGCGAUACGGGCAUAACUUGAGUACUGUAGGGGAGACUGGAAUUCCUGGUGUAGCGGUGAAAUGCGCAGAUAUCAGGAGGAACACCGGUGGCGAAGGCGGGUCUCUGGGCAGUAACUGACGUUGAGGAGCGAAAGCAUGGGUAGCGAACAGGAUUAGAUACCCUGGUAGUCCAUGCCGUAAACGGUGGGCGCUAGGUGUAGGGGUCCUCCACGACUUCUGUGCCGUAGCUAACGCAUUAAGCGCCCCGCCUGGGGAGUACGGCCGCAAGGCUAAAACUCAAAUGAAUUGACGGGG